GGCUGAUGCGGCAGUCCCAGCAGGAGCGCAGGAUUGCCGUGCAGCUCAUGCAUGUUCGGCAUGAAAAGGAAGUUUUAUGGCAAAACAGAAUUUUCAGAGAAAAACAACAUGAGGAAAGACGACUUAAAGAUUUCCAGGAUGCUCUUGAUCGAGAAGCGGCUUUGGCAAAACAAGCCAAGAUUGACUUUGAAGAACAAUUCCUUAAAGAAAAGAGAUUUCAUGAUCAGAUUGCUGUGGAAAGAGCUCAAGCUCGUUAUGAAAAGCAUUAUUCAGUAUGUGCAGAAAUUUUGGAUCAAAUAGUUGAUUUGUCCACUAAAGUGGCAGACUAUCGAAUGUUGACAAAUAAUCUGAUUCCGUAUAAGUUGAUGCAUGAUUGGAAGGAACUAUUUUUUAAUGCAAAACCCAUAUAUGAACAAGCCUCUGUUAAGACACUACCUGCUGACCCCUCAAGAGAACAACUUACAGAACUGGAGAAAAGGGACUUGCUAGAUACCAAUGAUUAUGAAGAAUAUAAGAACAUGGUUGGAGAGUGGGCCUUACCAGAAGAAAUGGUUGACAAUUUACCACCCUCCAACAAUUGCAUACUGGGCCAUAUUCUUCACAGGCUAGUUGAAAAAUCUCUUCCUCCUCGAGCGGAAUCAACAACACCUGAAUUACCUUCAUUUGCUGUUAAAGGAUGCUUAUUGGGGAAAACAUUAAGUGGAAAAACUACCAUUUUAAGGUCUCUACAAAAAGACUUUCCUAUACAGAUACUUUCUAUUGACACUCUUGUCCAAGAAGCUAUCCAAGCAUUUCAUGACAAUGAAAAAGUCAGUGAGGUUCUACCAAUUCAGAAAAAAGAUGAAGAAGAUGCUCUACCAGUUCUGCAAGAGGAGAUUAAAGAAAGCCAGGAUCCACAACAUGUAUUUUCAGCUGGUCCAGUUUCAGAUGAAGUAUUACCAGAAACAGAAGGUGGUAAUGCUGAUAAAACACCAAAAGCUGAAGAAGUCAAAUCAAGUGAUAGUUUCUUAAAACUCACUACACGUGCUCAGCUUGGUGCAAAAUCAGAACAGUUGCUGAAGAAAGGAAAGAGCAUUCCUGAUGUGCUGCUUGUUGACAUCAUGGUAAAUGCUAUUAAGUAUGUAUUGCAUUUUUCUUCCUCUCAUCUAUUUAAUAUAUUCUUUAUCACACAAAGAUGUAUAAGGAAUAAUACGGAUUUUUUGUUUUAAUAUCUCAUACAUUUCACUCAUCUGUAUAUGAAAAUAUACAGCAAUGAAAAGGUAGAUUUAUUUUGUGACUUACGUGCCUAUAUUCCGCUUCUUCUCCCAUACCAAGCUUGACUUCUUUUACCCAGAUGUGAAUAAAGUCAGGUUCUAUUACCUGUGGGGAAUUCAAUGAGAAAUUGAGUAAUUGGAAAAGCCAAGGGAAAGACUCAAUUGUGUGGUCACAGACCACGGGGAAAAAAGAAGCCAUAGAGACUUGGCUGACAAAUGUAAUAAAGAGAGAAGGUCAGCAGGCUGGAGAAAACUGUCAAAAAGCCCCCUGAGAAAGAGCUGCAAACAACUUAGAGUAGGUAAGGAAGCAGAACUGAGUAGUGAGAUGUGGGAUGUGGAAACAGUGAGACCAAGAGAGAUGAGGAAGGAGGGCUGAGAGUUCUACUCUGCAUCUGGAAUGGACUUCCCUUAGUGUUUUCUUAAAAGAUGACAUUAAAAAUUUAAGUUGCUUCUCAAUGAUGAUAUGUCUAGAAAUCAGAUCACAGGGCUGCCCAGAGCUAGGAGGGGCCUCACUCUAAUAGUUGUAACAUUUCCCAGAAGUGGCGAUAAAGCAUGUUUCAGCCAUGGGAUUCUUUGCUUCUGCUCCAAAUAAAAAUGUAUAUGAAAAGCAUCAGAUAGAUAUAAAGCAGUUCUUCACUUUAGUUUCAGUGGAACUGAAACCUCCACACCCCAUCGUCAGAACUCCAUUACCCUCCUUCCACCAGUACCAUCCUUAUUGCCCCUGAGGCUCCUCCAGAUGACAGUCAUCAGUGUGAAAUCUUUGAUCCAGUCUAAAUCUAUCGUUUUUCUGUAAGGAAAGGGAGGCACAUGACAGUUCAGUGAGGUGCUCCAGUUACAUGUCUGGCUAGUGGUAUAGCCCCAGCCAAAGUCCAUGUCUCCUGACUCCCCAUCAUCUCACGUCCUCAAACUACAGCUGAACAAGGGUAGCCCUCACCUCCCCGUUCCUCUGAAGUGGCUUCUGUGACUGUGGGUGGACGAAGGAACUCAAGGAAAUUCUCUUUCCCAUCUUAGGCCAAUGAAUCAACAAAUUUAUUCUAUGCAGAAUGCUUCACCAAGCUCUGGACAAGUUAUAAAACCAAAAUGAAGUCUUUUCCUGCUCUUAAUAACCUAAUGAGAGAAAUAUAGACAGUGACCUGAAGACAGCUUGAUACUGUGGAAAGAUCAUUGGAUUUGGGUGAUUUUUAGUUUCGUGACUUUGAACAAUAAUGAAAUUUCCUUUAACUUCUGUUUUCCCCCUCCUUCCUUGUUACACUAUUGGAAGGAUCACAUGCAGGCCCCAAAGUAGACUCAGAAACCUUUGGAAAGGGGAUUCCAUUGUUUAAUAUAAGUUCUGACAGAAAUAAAUGAAAUUAUACCUUUUAAUCCAAAGGCCAAAAACACAAUUUUGCAUAAUUUAAGGGCUUAGAAGAACAAAGUCAAAGUUUACGCCUUUCUCACCUUGUUUUCCAGCUGCAAAUUAAAACAAUAAUUAUUCAACACCCACUCUCUAAAGAGGACACUGUGCUGAGUGCAAAAACCCAAUUGCAUUUCAGCGUCCUAUAAUCUAACUGAGAUUUUAAAAGACUCACUUGAAUUUGUGUUAAGCAGAGAAAUAUAACCACUUGCAUGGCAAAGUGGAAGUCAGAGAAAUUCAGAUCAGGAUACUAUGACUCUACACAGGCUUGGGUGGGAUAGGAAGAGCUCUCCAGGUUGGCAGUACAAGUAUCCAGUAUGUGCUAAGCUCUGUGCUGCGUUUUUUAAAUGCAUCAUUUCAGGUCAUCCUCACAACUACCUUAUGAGGUAUGUUAUGUUACCCCAUUGUAUAAAUUAGGAAACUGAGGUGCAAAGGAGGAACAGUCUGUGAACACAAUAUAGAAAAUGCAGUUCAUACUCAUAUAACAUUGAGGAGAUGAGUUUGUUUGAAGUAAAUGGUUCAAAAUUGUAAGAGAUAACAAGUUAUAGAGAAAUAAAGUGUUGAUAUGGUUUGACUGUGUCCCCAUCCAAAUCUCAUCUUGAAUUGUAGCUCCCAUAAUUCCCACAUGUUGUGGGAGGGACCUGGUGGGAGAUGAUUGAAUCUUGGGGGCGGUGCUUUCCUGUGCUGUUUUCGUGAUAGUGAAUGGUCUCACAAGAUGUGAUGGUUUUAAAAACGGGAGUUUCUCUGCACAAGCUCUCGAUUUGCCUGCUGCCAUCCAUGUGACUUUCUCCUCCUUGCCUUCUGCCGUGAUUGUGAGGCUUCCCCCACCAUGUGAAACUGUAACACCAAUUAAAUCUCUUUCUUUGUAAAUUGCCCAGUCUUGAGUAUGUCUUUAUCAGCAGCAUGGAAAGGGACUAAUACAGGUGUGGCCAGUUAAUUUUAAUGUGUUAAAGCCUCUGGAAUAGAUUUGGAGGGCAGCACAGUAUCCACAGAAGUAUUUUAAGCAAGGGAGUGAUUGUGGCACAUCAGUAAACCUAAUCUUUUAGCUAUGAAGUAAUGAAAUUCAUGCAGUAGGAAGUUAUUGUGGAAUUGAAAGAAAAAGGAAAGAUUCAUCAUAGUAUUUCCAAAGUACUUGUGUCUAACAAAAUAUUCAUGAGUUGUCCUGUUUCAAUUUAGCAAGAUACCUGUGAAUCAAGACUGUAUCCUAGAUGGUUUUCCAAUGACUUUAAACCAAGCACAGCUUCUGGAAGAAGCUCUUACAGGCUGCAAUAGAAACCUCACAGAAGUGGAAAGAAAAAAAGCACAAAAAUCCACAUUGGCUAUUGAUCCUGCGACUUCCAAAGAAAUACCUCUUCCCUCUCCUGCAUUUGAUUUUGUCAUAUUAUUAGAUGUUUCAGAUACUUCCUCAAUGAGUCGCAUGAAUGAUAUUAUAGCUGAAGAAUUGUCCUAUAAAACUGCUCACGAAGAUAUCAGUCAACGUGUAGCUGCUGAAAACCAAGAUAAGGAUGGAGACCAAAAUUUAAGAGACCAGAUACAACAUAGAAUUAUAGGCUUCUUGGACAACUGGCCUUUAUUGGAGCAAUGGUUUUCAGAGCCAGAAAAUAUUUUGAUAAAAAUCAAUGCUGAAAUAGAUAAGGAAUCUUUAUGUGAAAAAGUAAAAGAAAUUCUUACGACUGAAAUAGCAAAAAAAAAGAAUAAAGUUGAGAAGAAAUUAGAAGAAAAGGAAGCUGAGAAAAAAGCAGCAGCUUCCCUGGCUGAGCUUCCACUUCCUACACCUCCUCCUGCUCCUCCUCCUGAACCAGAAAAAGAGAAGGAAAUUCAUCAAAGCCAUGUGCCUUCAAAAACUCCUACUGCAAAAGGAAAACCUCAAUCAGGUGAUUGACAGAAUGAUUUAUAAUCCUGUUUUCAGUUUCUUAUUUUUACUCAGUAAAGAAUUAUAAAUUAUAGUCUAUCUACAUUCAGACUUUGGGCAACUUCAAUCAUAUGAAACAAGGCUUUACACUCAGAUGGAAGUGGAAAAGCCCUCGGAGUAGCUGAAAGCGUAGUUGUUACAAAGCCCAACUUCUUUGCCAUGUAGGAGGAGACAUGGAGUCAUCACACCUAGGUCUACUGAUUAGAGUAAGACCACAGACGAGAAGAGGGAAAGGCACAGAGUAACAGGUAACUUCAGGCAGAUCAAGAGGAUACACGUCUGUGUGCUGAACUAUAGAGUUACAUUUAUGUAAUGAGUAAGAACAUCUUAAUAAAAUAAGAAUGAGUAUAGCUGGUUUUCCACCAGAAUAAGGGAACAAAUUAACAGCAACCAUUAGAACUAGAAUUUAUAUGUAAUUGUAAAUCUUCAGGACUAUGUGAUUAUAAAAGUAUAGAAACAAGCUCCUGCCAUCUCAGUAAACAUAUAUUUAUGGACACAGAGAUAAAGAGCCUAGAUAGAGAACACUUUUAGUUUAAGUUUGUUCUAGAUCCUUAACCGCUAUGGACCAUAAGUCUAGCAUUAAGUGGCAGACAAUGAAUAUAAUGACAAAAGUGAAGUGCUUAAUUGUUGUAAUGCAUGAUAUUGGUAGAGUGUCAGUAUCCAUUUGUGUGUGUAUAUAAAACAAAUGAGGCUCUGGUUUCUAGUUUCAGCUUUAUAAAUGGCUGACUGUGCAGUUACACCAUGUCUACAUAAGUAUCUUUGAUACUGUGUCAUGACCACAUUUCUAAACUCUAUAGUCUUUCUGCCUCACGGAGAUUUGAGAUAGGUCUUAAUUUUUAAAAUUAAACUUAUUCAUAUUAAACAAAGUCAUAUGAAGACUUUAGUAAGAUAUAUUAUGAUAUAUUAAAGACCAUUCUGCUCCAGGAAAUUAGAAAUUAACUACAGGCAAAAUACACACAUCCUAAAAAAUGUUUUUAUCAUGUCAACAAUAAAACACAAAGACAUGAAUUAAACAUACACCCUUUUCCCGCUGUCUCAUUAGGAAAUUAAAAAACAAUUCAGAGGUCUGGAGGAAAAUGGAAAUAUUUAAAAUGCUUUUUAGAACUGGGGAAGACAGGCCAAGCGUGGUGGCUCAUCCCUGUAAUCCCAGCACUUUGGGAGGCUGAGGUGGGCAGAUCACCAGAAAUCAGGAGUUCGAGACCCCCCUGGCCAACAUGGCAAAACCCCAUCUCUACCAAAAAUACAAAAAUUAGCUGGGCGUGGUGGCAGGCACCUGUAAUCCCAGCUGCUUGGGAGGCUGAGGCAGGAGAAUUGCUUGAACCUGAGAGGCGGAGGUUGCAGUGAGCUGAGAUUGCCCCACUGCACUCUAGCCUGGGGGAUAGAGUGAAACUCUACCUCCAAAAAAAAGAAAAGAAAAAUAACUGAGGAAGACAGUUUUCACAGUGGGUCAGGUGAGCCUAGAAUUAUCGAAUAUCGUCCUUUAACCUAUAGCUAUGACUCUAGGUUAAAGCUCCUCCUCAGUUUGCUCCAGUCAAGAGUAUCUAUGUAUUUGAGCCAUUUCCUGAAACCAGACUCUAGUGUUUCUGAUCAGGACCAGCUCAGUCUUUAAGUUUCUGAAGUUUGUUUGCUAUUUUAUAAUUAUAUUCUUGAAUACUGUGCAUUGAAGAAAUAAUAAAUCUAUUGUUGCUUUAAA
This 6251-nucleotide small RNA is filed under the name Pan troglodytes (chimpanzee). Its description in RNAcentral is "retained intron". The record is from RNAcentral. Lineage: Eukaryota; Metazoa; Chordata; Mammalia; Primates; Hominidae.